Molecule: long non-coding RNA, 1105 nt
Filed under: Strigops habroptila (Kakapo)
Lineage: Eukaryota; Metazoa; Chordata; Aves; Psittaciformes; Psittacidae
Description: lncRNA (ENSSHBG00005013473.1)
Source: RNAcentral
GGGGAAUUGGACUCCUGGAGGGGGGUUUGGGGACCCCAAAGGGAGUUUUUGGGGUCAUGGGGGGGGUUUUGGGGACCUCAAUGGGGGUUUUUGGGGGUCCUGGGGGGGGUUUUGGGGACCCCGGCAGCCACCAGCGCUCAGCCCAGACUCCUGUUCCUGCUGAACUGAGCCAGUUUAACCAAAGCAACUGCAAAUCAGCUCAGUAGGCACAGGAGGCAGCGCCCGGGGGGGGCCCCGUGGCCUUGGGGGGGGGAUCCCGGUGUCCUGGGGGGGGGAUCCCGGUGUCCUGGGGGGGGAUCCCGGUGUCCGGGGAGCGGAACUUAGCCACUGUGAACACGACCCGAUGCCAACGCUGUUCACAUGUGGGCUAAGCCCUACCCCACGGCGCCGGCUGCGGCGUGUCCCGGUGUUCCCGGUGUUCCCGGUGUGUCCCGGUGUGUCCCGGUGUUCCCGGCGGUGGCGGGUGCUGGCGCCCGUUGGAAAUCCCUGGCAAUGUGAUUUUGGGCAGAAACGGUAAAAAAUCGCAUCGCCAGGAACCCCGGUGAGCGGCAGCGGGGGGGGAGCGGGGGGGUACCGGGACCCCCCCACACACAGACCGGUGGCGGUGGUGGGUCAGGCUGGGUCAGUGCUCACAGGGGCUGUGGGGCACGGACACACAUGGACACACAUGGACACACAUGGACAUACAUGGACAUAGGGGUACAUGGGGGCAGACGGACACACAUGGACACACAUGGACAUAGGGACACACAUGGACAUAGGGACACACAUGGACAUACAUGGACAUAGGGAUACAUGGGGACACGGACACACAUGGACACACAUGGACACACAUAGACAUAGGGAUACACAUGGACAUAGGGAUACAUGGACAUACAUGGACAUAGGGACACACAUGGACAUAGGGACACACAUGGACAUACAUGGACAUAGGGGUACAUGGGGGCAGACAAGACAGAUACCCCUGGACAUAGGGACAUGGACACAUGGACACACACAUGGACACAUGCAGACACACAUGGACACAGGCACACACGUGGACACAUACACAGACACGGGCACACACAGAUGGACACACACGGACACGCAUGGACACAGGCACACA